Molecule: long non-coding RNA, 621 nt
Filed under: Sorghum bicolor (sorghum)
Lineage: Eukaryota; Viridiplantae; Streptophyta; Magnoliopsida; Poales; Poaceae
Description: long non-coding RNA (SBIC_LNC017161)
Source: RNAcentral
GAUUUUAGAGGUGACUUCUAUUUCUUAAUUGUUAUGCACACACCAAAUUACCCUAUAGUCAGUAUGUACCCUAGAGUUUAAUUUUAUUAAAUGGAAUAACACAUAAGUUAGUAGACCUAUGUCACAAAAGUUAUGUUAUUCACAGAUGGAUCACAAAUGGAUAUAUUUUGAAACUGUAUCUGCCACGUUAGCGAGAGGCCGACCAGCUUGCCCAACAACAACAGAUGGCAGAAAUGAUAGCCUUCCUGCAGUCGGUUGGGGCUCAAACGGGUGUAGCCCUACCACCUACGCUACUGGCUCCACGACAACCCUCUCAUGUAUUUACUACUCCUAUUAAUACUCAUGUGAGGAAACUCAAUGACACAAGUAAGUCCUAAACUAGUUAUUGCCGUCAUCUUGUCUAAUAAACUAUGUUCUCCUUUGUGCAGCCUCCGUCAGCAUGUUCGAACGCGGCACCUGGCAUUUCUCCAACACCUGGCAUCUCGCCGACACCUCCAGAUGGUGGCUUUCCUGCGGUACAUGGCCUAGGUGUCCCUCAUAUCAAUUGGGGGCCUUCACAGUGAGUCAGGUCGACUUAGUUUGAGAUGCAGUUAGUUUGGAGUAUGUGGACUAUGUGGUGAU